UCGAGAAUUUUUCACAAUGGGCGCAAGCCUGAUGGAGCGACGCCGCGUGGGGGAUGAAUGGCUUCGGCCCGUAAACCCCUGUCAUUUGCGAACAAGUUGGUUCAGUUAAUAGCUGAACCAUUGAUAGUAGCGAAAGAGGAAGGGACGGCUAACUCUGUGCCAGCAGCCGCGGUAAUACAGAGGUCCCAAGCGUUGUUCGGAUUCACUGGGCGUAAAGGGUGCGUAGGUGGUGAGGUAAGUCGGAUGUGAAAUCUCCGAGCUCAACUCGGAAAUGGCAUUGGAAACUACCUUGCUCGAGGGUUGGAGGGGGGACUGGAAUACUUGGUGUAGCAGUGAAAUGCGUAGAUAUCAAGUGGAACACCAGUGGCGAAGGCGAGUCCCUGGACAACUCCUGACACUGAGGCACGAAAGCUAGGGGAGCAAACAGGAUUAGAUACCCGUAGUC
This 445-nucleotide ribosomal RNA is filed under the name uncultured bacterium. RNAcentral's name for it is "bacterial SSU rRNA". It matches the Rfam family "Bacterial small subunit ribosomal RNA", at positions 355 to 795 of the family's 1533-position model. The record is from RNAcentral.